This is a long non-coding RNA of Rosa rugosa (rugosa rose), 1647 nucleotides long. RefSeq lists it as uncharacterized. The record is from RefSeq and is a predicted model, not a curated record. Lineage: Eukaryota; Viridiplantae; Streptophyta; Magnoliopsida; Rosales; Rosaceae. The transcript is spliced from 6 exons.
CUCGACUUGUGAUUUUCGGUCGCCAACAAGGUCUCAGCGAAAGAUGACGAUGAACCAGGGAGACGCAAGAUCUCUUUUUAUAGUGGUGGAUUUUCCUUAUAAAGCUCCAUACUUUAGUAGUGUAUUUGAAUUUAAAUUGGGUGAGAUGCUUCGAGGACAAACAAAGGAAGAAGAAGCAUUUGCAUGUGUAGGACAGUUGAGUCAAACGAAGUGGCGCCAACCCAUUUCAUGGAUGUUUUAUUCUUUGGCUACUGCCACUUCUUGCAGUUCUACUGACCUGUGUCUAUUGCCAGAUGGUGGUCCUGAAGAUUUUAAGAUCGAUGUUCCAUUGCACGGAUAUAUCUUCAACAUCAGGACCAAAAAGGUGCGAAAAAUGAAGCCGCCCAAGGCCUCCAAAUGCUUAGGACAUGUUGUAUCUUUGAAAGGGGACAUUUAUUUUAUUACAGAUCCAUACUGGUUAACUGGUGCACCAGACCCGUCUUUCGAGCGAUAUCUUCCUGACAAAGAUUCUUGGGAAACUCUGACACAUUUUCCCCGUAUUGAGGGCAUGAGUUGCAACGGUCAGAUGGUGGCUAUUGCCGUUUGUGAUGAAUUCAUUUUGUUUAACAUAGAUGCCCGUUGUCAAAUGUGGGCGUAUGAUGUAAGUAGAAACAAAUGGUAUUUAGUCAAAGUUGAGAACUAUGAGUGCUAUGGUAUACGAGGGGUGGCUGUGGUUCUAGAAAAGACUAUCUAUGCUUUAACACACGUGUCGUUUGACACAGUUCUGGCUUUAUCUAUUACAAGGGAACAAAUUGAUGGAGAUCUUGUAUUUACAUGUUCUCUACACUCGGUCAUUGAGGUGCCGUACAUGGAGCUAUUUCCAUUGGGUGAGGCAGGCCCGAGAAGCAGGUAUUUGGUUCAUUUGGGUCACCAGGAGUUUUGUCUUGUCUAGAGUGGUCUCCUCCCUGGUUAUAAUGAUCGUCAACCCAUAAAAUUCAGCAUUAUAAAGCUUGUGGGAAAAAACUCAAUGAAUAUAACUGAUGGAAUAGUCUACGAGGUGCAUCUUCUGGAUUUUUUGAGCAAUUUCGAGUUAGACACUGCUUCUCGCCGCCAUAAGCUCCUUCACUUUUGAUUUGAACUAAUUUGGGAUUUCUGUUUGUUUUGAAUGUCACCUUUAUACGUUUCUGAUUGUUCUAUGACUCAGUGAGUGCGAGGAUUUUGUGUUAAAAGAAGAAGACAAAGGUGAUAUUUUCUUCAACUUCGACCCUGUUUGUGAGGAUAUUGUGUCAAAACAAGAAGACAAGAGUGAUACUGACUUCACCUUCAACCCAGAAUCUGAAGUUGUCAAACCAGUCCAAGAAGAAGAGGUUGCGACCCUGCCAAUACAAGGAGAAACAAUAGUCGAUACCAGUUCCCUUGAGAGGCUUCAACUAUCACAAUCGGGGAUUUUCAAGCAGUGAUCGAGGAAAAGAGAAGAACCGCCACCUGAGUUGGCAAUGGGAGAAGAGGAAAAAACACAGGAAAAAUGAUCUUUUCAAAAUAAUGACGCAGUUCAAUUAUGUGUUCAUUAUGUAUAAAACACAGGAAAAAAGAAAACAGGUUGCAACAGCCUUGGGGCUGAGGGAGUGUUACUGUUUUGGGUUUCUUCCUUUUAGGCCCUUUGGCAUC